This 253-nucleotide ribosomal RNA is filed under the name uncultured bacterium. Its description in RNAcentral is "partial 16S ribosomal RNA". It matches the Rfam family "Bacterial small subunit ribosomal RNA", at positions 524 to 776 of the family's 1533-position model. The record is from RNAcentral.
UACAGAGGGGGCAAGCGUUGUUCGGAAUUACUGGGCGUAAAGGGCGCGUAGGCGGCCUGCUAAGUCGAACGUGAAAUCCCCGGGCUCAACCCGGGAACUGCGUCCGAUACUGGUUGGCUUGAAUCCGGGAGAGGGAUGCGGAAUUCCAGGUGUAGCGGUGAAAUGCGUAGAUAUCAAGAGGAACACCUGAGGUGAAGACGGGUUGCUGGGCCAACACUGACGCUGAGGCGCGAAAGCCAGGGGAGCAAACGGG